Molecule: unclassified non-coding RNA, 200 nt
Filed under: uncultured fungus
Lineage: Eukaryota; Fungi
Description: sequence contains ITS1, 5.8S rRNA gene
Source: RNAcentral
CCGAGUGAGGGUCCUCUGGGCCCGACCUCCCAACCCUUUGUUUACCGAACCUCUGUUGCUUCGGCGGACCCGUCUCACGACCGCCGGAGGAUCCGCCCCCUGGGGCGCCCUCUGGCCAGCGUCCGCCGAUAGCCAACCCUCAAACUCCUGAAUAAAUCAUGUUAUGUGUCUAAGUCUUAUGAUUCAAAAUCAAUAAAGCA